Molecule: non-coding RNA, 27 nt
Filed under: Rattus norvegicus (Norway rat)
Lineage: Eukaryota; Metazoa; Chordata; Mammalia; Rodentia; Muridae
Source: RNAcentral
GCAGCCAAAAAGUUGGGUGCUUCCUGG